This 306-nucleotide ribosomal RNA is filed under the name uncultured Peredibacter sp. Its description in RNAcentral is "bacterial SSU rRNA". It matches the Rfam family "Bacterial small subunit ribosomal RNA", at positions 1033 to 1340 of the family's 1533-position model. The record is from RNAcentral. Lineage: Bacteria; Pseudomonadati; Bdellovibrionota; Bacteriovoracia; Bacteriovoracales; Bacteriovoracaceae.
GAGAGGUGCUGCAUGGCUGUCGUCGGCUCGUGUUGUGAAAUGUUGGGUUAAGUCUCGCAACGAGCGCAACCCCUAUCGUCUGUUGCCAGCAUUAAGUUGGGCACUCUGACGAGACUGCCUGGGUUAACCAGGAGGAAGGUGGGGAUGACGUCAAGUCCUCAUGGCCCUUAUGUCUAGGGCUACACACGUAAUACAAUGGCGCGUACAAAGGGAAGCGAACUCGCAAGGGGGAGCAAAUCUCAAAAAGCGCGUCUCAAUCCGGAUUGGAGUCUGCAACUCGACUCCGUGAAGUUGGAAUCGCUAGUA